UGCCACCGAUAAAGCAUCCAAGCUAAAAUG
RNAcentral lists this non-coding RNA (30 nucleotides) under Rattus norvegicus (Norway rat). Lineage: Eukaryota; Metazoa; Chordata; Mammalia; Rodentia; Muridae. The record is from RNAcentral.